RNAcentral lists this long non-coding RNA (750 nucleotides) under Hordeum vulgare. RNAcentral's name for it is "long non-coding RNA (HVUL_LNC013130)". Lineage: Eukaryota; Viridiplantae; Streptophyta; Magnoliopsida; Poales; Poaceae. The record is from RNAcentral.
CCUAGAGAUGAAUGAUUCCCUGAGUAGAAGUGCGAGAGGUUCAUGGAAAGAUUCACCGGAAACACUUCUCUCUCGAAGGGGCUGAUUAGAGGCAAGGGUGAAUUGUUCAUUUUAAAUAUGUGACAACAUAAUGAAAAUGGUACCAAUAGAACGGGCACGGCGAGGCGAGAACGCUGGAUUUGGAAUCACAUGAUUUGAGUAACGGCCGUGAAAUUAUGACCAUUCAUUCGUUAGGCACACAAGCACACAAAAAAUUGUCCACUUUAGCUGUUAAUGGACGAACGCUCCCAACUUAACAGAUUUAGCUCGCGGCUGAAAAAAUGGAAAGCACAUUUAUGAGAUUAUGCUUUUAGACAGAGAAAACAUAAUCCUGGGCGAAGAACCAGAAUAAACUUUCCGAAGAUAAAAAUGCACCCCAUAGAUUAUGCCUCCACUUACCGGUCAACGGGCUGGUCCGGUCACCGCAAGAGCCGCUCACACACGGGGCCCACCGGACCUCUCUCCUCCCACUCGUCUUCUUCCUCUUGAUCGGAGGCAGAGGAGGCUUCGUGCACUGGUCUAGGACGUCGCCUUGUCGCCCGAGAGGGUCGGCCGAUGAGCGCAAGUGCUCAGCUAUCCACACUGCACCUGCUGGUAGUCAAGGGGGUGCUCGGGGCGGCCUGCCGCAUUGGCGGCACAGUCGGGUCCGACGACUGAAGAAGCUUCACAGGGUGGGCACCACUCCUCCGGCUGGACGGAGGGUAGCGACUC